Small nuclear RNA from Oryctolagus cuniculus (rabbit), 107 nucleotides. The record is from Ensembl. Lineage: Eukaryota; Metazoa; Chordata; Mammalia; Lagomorpha; Leporidae.
AUCUAUACCUGAAAAUGCUGUAAACUUAUUUUGGAAUAAUACGGAGAAGAUUAGCCUGGCCCCGGUGCAAGGCUAACAUGCAAAUUCAUGAACCUUACUUUCUUAAA